Molecule: ribosomal RNA, 293 nt
Filed under: uncultured eukaryote
Lineage: Eukaryota
Description: partial 18S ribosomal RNA
Rfam family: Eukaryotic small subunit ribosomal RNA
Source: RNAcentral
GGUUGAUCCUGCCAGUAGUCAUAUGCUUGUCUCAAAGAUUAAGCCAUGCAUGUCCAAGUUUAAGCUUUUAAACGGUGAAACUGCGAACGGCUCAUUACAACAAUUUCAACCUACAUGAUAGUGAACUGCUAUACGGAUACCCGUGGCAAAUCUGCAGCUAAUACGUGCGUCAGGGCUCUUUCGGGAGCUGCAUUUAUUAGAUCUAAGCCAACCCGGGCGACCGGUAGGUGGUGAUUCAUAGUAACUGUGCGAAUCGCUUCGGCGAUGGGUCAUUCGGAAUUUUGCCCUAUCAA